This is a small nuclear RNA of Hemibagrus wyckioides, 115 nucleotides long. RefSeq annotates it as U5 spliceosomal RNA. The record is from RefSeq and is a predicted model, not a curated record. NCBI's taxonomy places the organism in Eukaryota, Metazoa, Chordata, Actinopteri, Siluriformes, Bagridae. The transcript has a single exon.
UACCUCUGGUUUCUCUUAAAUCACACAUAAAUCUUUCGUCUUUUAUUAAAGAUUUCCGUGGAGUGGAACAUCAGUGAGUUUGAUGUAUUGCUGUGAGCUUUGCUCUGGCAAAGCU